RNAcentral lists this microRNA precursor (103 nucleotides) under Marmota monax (woodchuck). Lineage: Eukaryota; Metazoa; Chordata; Mammalia; Rodentia; Sciuridae. The record is from RNAcentral.
AGUGGGAUAGCUGGGUCAAUUAGUGGUUCCAUUCCAAGUUUUCUGAGGAAUCUUUACACUGCUUUCCAAAGUGGUUGCACCAAUUUGCAGUCCCACCAGCAAU